UUUUUCCGGUUGAUCCUGCCAGAGGCCACUGCUAUCGGGGUUUGACUAAGCCAUGCGAGUCGAGAGGUUUCUGACCUCGGCGUACUGCUCAGUAACACGUGGACAAUCUGCCCUGGAGAGGAGGAUAUCCCCGGGAAACUGGGAUUAAUACUCCAUAGUUCGUCUUAACUGGAAUGUUAUUCGAACGAAAGAUCCGUCGCUCCAGGAUGAGUCUGCGGCCGAUUAGGUAGUUGUUGGGGUAACGGCCCAACAAGCCUUUCAUCGGUACGGGUUGUGGGAGCAAGAGCCCGGAGAUGGAUUCUGAGACACGAAUCCAGGCCCUACGGGGCGCAGCAGGCGCGAAAACUUUACCAUGCGGGCAACCGUGAUAAGGAAACCCCGAGUGCCAGCACAGGCUGGCUGUCCGCCAGUUUAAAUAACUGGUGAAGAAAGGGCCGGGCAAGACCGGUGCCAGCCGCCGCGGUAAUACCGGCGGCUCGAGUGGUGGCCGCUAUUACUGGGCUUAAAGGGUCCGUAGCUUGAUAACUGGGUCCCUUGAGAAAUCCGCCAGCUUAACUGGCGGGCGUUCAGGGGAAACUUGUUUUCUAGGGACCGGGAGAGGUGAGGGGUACUGCCGGGGUAGGAGUGAAAUCCUGUAAUCCCGGUGGGACCACCUAUGGCGAAGGCAUCUCACCAGAACGGGUCCGACAGUGAGGGACGAAAGCUGGGGGAGCAAACCGGAUUAGAUACCCGGGUAGUCCCAGCUGUAAACUAUGUGCGUUAGGUGUGUCAGUGACCACGUGUCACUGAGGUGCCGAAGGGAAACCGUGAAACGCACCGCCUGGGGAGUACGGUCGCAAGGCUGAAACUUAAAGGAAUUGGCGGGA
Molecule: ribosomal RNA, 866 nt
Filed under: uncultured archaeon
Lineage: Archaea
Description: bacterial SSU rRNA
Rfam family: Archaeal small subunit ribosomal RNA
Source: RNAcentral